Molecule: ribosomal RNA, 251 nt
Filed under: uncultured bacterium
Lineage: Bacteria
Description: partial 16S ribosomal RNA
Rfam family: Bacterial small subunit ribosomal RNA
Source: RNAcentral
CGGAAACUAGUGGCGAACGGCUGAGUAACGCGUAGGUGACCUACCCCGUAGUGUGGAAUAACUGCCCGAAAGGGUAGCUAAUACCGCAUGUUGAGCCGACAUCAAUGUCGUCUCCAAAGCAGAAAUGCGCUAUGGGCGGGGCCUGCGUUCGAUUAGCUAGUUGGUGGGGUAAUGGCUCACCAAGGCGACGAUCGAUAGGUGGUCUGAGAGGACGAUCACCCAGACUGGGACUGAGACACGGCCCAGACUCC